AAGUCGUAACAAGGUUUCCGUAGGUGAACCUGCGGAAGGAUCAUUAAAAAAUAUAGAAUUAAUUUUCUAUAAACCCAAUCUGUGUAUUCGUACCUAUUGCUUCCGUGGGACAGUGAACGCUUGUCGUUCCCUCUGGCGCUGUUCUUCGGAACGGAUGCUGGGGAGUGCCCACGGGAGGUCUACAUAAACUCUGUUUUUUCUGAACUCAGUCUGAAAACUGUUUUUAAAUAAACUUUAAAACUUUCAACAACGGAUCUCUUGGUUCUC
This 267-nucleotide unclassified non-coding RNA is filed under the name fungal sp. RNAcentral describes it as "partial internal transcribed spacer region". The stretch from base 1 to 46 matches the Rfam family "Eukaryotic small subunit ribosomal RNA", at positions 1786 to 1831 of the family's 1831-position model. The record is from RNAcentral. Lineage: Eukaryota; Fungi.